Molecule: long non-coding RNA, 149 nt
Organism: Larimichthys crocea (large yellow croaker)
Lineage: Eukaryota; Metazoa; Chordata; Actinopteri; Sciaenidae
Exons: 2
Source: RefSeq, a predicted model, not a curated record
CUCCACGAUAACAGACUGUCCCUGCUCGCAGCCUUCUGCUUCGUCAAAGCCUACACAGCAGCUGUCCAGUGUUGGAGUGCUGGUUUGUGCAGGAGAAGGCGGGUCGAGGUGGAGGCUUAACUGCAGCUACAACCCAGGAGAAAUCUCUG